UACGGAGGUGGCUAGCGUUACUCGGAAUCAUUGGGUGUAAAGGGCAAGUAGGCGGCUUGAUAAGCGAGGGGUGAAAUCUUCCGGCUCAAUCGGAAAACUGCCUUUCGAACUGUCAAGCUUGAGGUAGGAAGAGGGAAAUGGAAUUCUCGGUGUAAGGGUGAAAUCUGUAGAUAUCGAGAAGAACACCAGCGGCGAAGGCGAUUUCCUGGUCCUAUCCUGACGCUGAACUGCGAAAGCUAGGGGAGCAAACAGA
RNAcentral lists this unclassified non-coding RNA (253 nucleotides) under uncultured bacterium. RNAcentral describes it as "contains 16S-23S intergenic spacer region". It matches the Rfam family "Bacterial small subunit ribosomal RNA", at positions 524 to 776 of the family's 1533-position model. The record is from RNAcentral.